Molecule: non-coding RNA, 9556 nt
Organism: Cricetulus griseus (Chinese hamster)
Lineage: Eukaryota; Metazoa; Chordata; Mammalia; Rodentia; Cricetidae
Source: RefSeq, a predicted model, not a curated record
UUGGGCCCUAACUCGGGCAGGUGGCUGGCGUAAAGCUCACACGUGGCAGUGGGGCUCAGCGGCUUUUGGCAGAAAGAUUUAUCGUAACAGACCUCAAUGUAAAAUAUGCCUCUAUAAGAUCAGGGUGUGGGGUAGCCUUUUCUUCAAUAGUAAUUGGUGUGUGUGUGGGGGGGACAAACCCCUUGAUGAUGAUGUCACCCCUGGAAUAAUAAUAGUCCUUGAUGCUAUGAGAAAGGAGGUGAACAAGCCACACGCAGCAAAACAGUAAAAAGCAUCCCUCCCUGGCCUCUGCAUCAUCCCCUGCAUCCUGGCAAGUUUGCCACUCCACAUGGUACAUCAUGAAUGCAGGUAGUAAGGCCGUGGGACUUGAUUAAUUAACCCAGUCUAAAGGUAUAAGUAGCCUUCGCUUGGCUUAAUGCAUGCUCAUGAUGGGCUGUUAUGUUUGGUCUUAACAAUAGGGGAUCAGCUCUGCUAUUUUACAGCUAAUAGAUCUGUAGGAAAAAAAAACUUAUCUGGUGUUAGUCUAUGUGAAGAAUACUGUGAUGGGGGAUUUCCUCUUGUAUGCUGUGAAUACAUGUUUCUCUUAUUGGCUGAGGAAUAAAGCUAUUUUGGCAAAUGGACAGGCAGGAUGUAGCCAGCAGGAAGUAUGGGCAGGCCUACCAGGAGAGGAGAAUUCUGGGAAGAGGAAUGCAGAGAGUGAUUUGCCAGGGAGAUGCCAUAUAGUCCCUAAGAAAGCAAGAAACUCUGGCAUCACAGGUAAGCAAGACCAUGUGGAGACACACAGAUUAAUAGAAAUGGGUUAAUAAUUAAGAGAGCCCUAACCAAUAAGAAGCCAUAGCAAUAAGCUGAACAGUUUAUAAUUUCUAUAAGCCUCUAUGUGUUUAUUUGGGACUGAACAGCUCCAUCACCAGUAGGGACAGAAACUUCCAUCUACAAUGGUGGGAGCUUGAAACCAGGGUUGCUCUGUGUAACCUUGUAAUGUGAAAAACAGAAAGCUCUCAUUGCCAACAACCAUGGAUCCUCAAGUAAUGUCCACCCUUUUGAUACCAUGAUACACUUUAUUAUCUUUAAGAUGAGAAACUAUGCCCAUGACAAGAUUGUUUUAGGACACAGAUACAAUGUUAGUCUGGCAGACAAAAAAGAAUAUAGGAUAUAGUGAAAAAUCAAAAAUGCUUUCACUGUUGUUAGCUUUUAGAAUAAAUAAGUGGGAACGUGGGCCAGGUAUGGAUUUGCAAUUGGACUAAUUUUGAGGUGAGGCUUGUUUUCUGUGAGAAGAUAGUAGAAUAGUUUGAUACGUAUCUCUAUCUAUCUAUCUAUCUAUCUAUCUAUCUAUCUAUCUAUCUAUCUUUACUUGUUUGUAAUAAUGGUGUUUCUAACAAAUAUAUUGAGCCAGUUUAUAAAUCUAUAAAAUCUAUGUUUAAUUUUACCUGUAUCUGACUCCCUUACAAUACCCUGCAUAGGCCAUUUAGAAGGAAGUUCUUUUGGUAAUUCUGUAUGAGGUGAAAGUCAUUUCCAUAUAAAUGAUACACAUUACAUGUGCAUUUAGUGAGUUAAUCCAGGUUGAACCUGUCCACAGGGGUUCGCAAUGCUAUAAGAAGAACAGAUGAACAAAAUCUUUGAGUAUCAGCUCUCACUUCUCGGAGCUAACAUGAAAUGAGAAAGUCGAUUGCUUCAUUUUGAUCUCUGUAGAAACCUUUGGCUGAAAUGCCCAUUUGUGCACUAUCUGUGCCCUGUAUCUAGCCUACUGAACUGACCCACAAAGCAGGUGUAUUCUCAGUGUGAUGCCCAGGGGCCCUCAACUUCCAUUGUAUUGAAUUGGGAUGCUCCUGGGGUAUCUUCACAGUCUCCAAACACUAAACAAUGAAAAUGAAAUCUUUACAUGGCCACAAAUUUAAUAACAAUGAAAAUAAGAGAGUCUAUAGAAAACCACCCAUAUGAUGUCAUUCUAUGAUGUCAGAAUUCCCCCAGGCAACUAACCAACAAGAGAGACCCUGAUAAAUCAAUGUAAGACUUGACCAUUCUCAUAGUUGUGAUACAUGAAAUGUAGAUAGCAUGGACGAGGAUUUCUGACAAUAUUUCCAAACAAUCUAGUCAUUGAAUUUUAACUCUUCCUUCUCGUAAUAUAUCUCAGAAGACAGAAGCUAUAACCUCGAUGAUAAAAGGGCACACUCAGGAUGAAGUGACUCAUGACAGUUUCUUGCACUGCUGCAAGGAUGACGUGAGUAGGCCCUUCUGUCAUGAGAACACUUGCUGUCCAGGUGCUCACAUGUGAUUCAUACUUGAGAACCUCUGCCACCAUCCAUUUUAGGAUGUACAUGUUCUUGGCACCUCCAAAAUCCAUCCCUCUCAUGUGUUAGCAGUUCUCAUGUAUGGCAGUAAUGCUGCCAUACAAGACCACCAACAGAUAAUUGACAGCUCAGCUUAGAGGAAUAUGAAAGCAGGAUCUGAUGACAUCUUAAAUGAUAAACAUUUCUGGAAGUUUCUUAAAUGGGUAUUUGAACUUUAAAACUAGUCACGGGCUUAGAAGUCAUUGUCCCUCAAAGAGUAAAUCCUUGUUGAAUUAUAAUUUCCUGUUUACCAUGUCUUUUAAAAACUUACAAACUAUUUUUAAAAGUUUGUAUUCAGUGUCAAUGUCUUUUUAUUGUUUUGCUCUCUUUUUAGAGCAUUGAUUUCAAGGACAACUUAUGUUACAUCAGCAACAUAUGGAAGUUUGAUCCAUAACAAAUAAAAUAUAAAUAUCAAUUGACUUUAAGUUACAUAAGAUAUUAUCUAUAAAUUCCAUUUGUUGGUGUGUGUGUAUGCGAGUGUGCAUACUAUGUAAAAUAUGUAGUACAUUUUUGUGUGUAGUAUAUAUAAGUACUAAAUACAUGUAAACAAAUGUGACCUUAAGCUUUCACAUCUAUAAAUAAAUUCUUAGAUAUGUCCUUGAGGUCACUUUAAAUUGCCUUAGAAGCAUGACAGAGACAAGAGGUUCAAAUUUUAAAAUAUGUUUAAAAUUAAAAAAUUCAAAAGUAAAGUAAUUGAUAAGGUGACCUCCACAAAAGUUGAGAAUAUUUCAGGCUUCACUAAGAUACCAGAAACUUACUUUCAUUCCCACUACAGUAAACCUCAGUAGGAACUCAGUAGCAACUAAGCAUGGCAUCACAGUUGGGCUUGACCAGUCAUAACCACACUGCUACAGAAGAAAUUUUCAGAAUCAAAAGCUUUCUUGUCAAGUGAAUCAAUGUGACUUUUCUUUUCCUCAUUACCAUGUCACCAUCAUGGACAUUAGCAACUAUUGCUUAUUGUGAGCUCAUUGUGGAUACAUGAAGGAAUGACUUAUUUCCCACCAUAUUUUCUCAACAAAAUAUCCUCAAGGAUGUUAGGAAGCUGUUUUAUGCAAGAGCUAAGAGCCAUACAUAAGCAUCUACAUUUGAUCUUUCACAGAGUAUCAAUUUAUACUCUACCUUGGGUACUCUACAUCAUACUCUAGGUGACUUGGAUUCUAACCUUUCACAUGGCCUGACAAAAACAUGAUUUUUUUUAACGUCUCAUUCAUUUAAGUAAAUAGUGAAGCCAAUAUAUUGAUUCUAUUCCUAUUCCUUUUGUAAACUGGGAAAUAACUAAAAACAAUGGUAGCAUUCCAAAAUUAAAAUUAGUAAUGUUUCCAGAAUUUAUAAAUAUGAGCAAAAUGACAUCAUCAUAGCUGACGUUAUGCUUGCAUGUGUAAUAUUUUCACUGAGUCAGAUAAACAGAAAUUAGAAUAGAAACAUACUCUGUUCUCAAAUAUGUAACAGAAGAGCUUCUUUUAAUUGAGCCAGAAGGCUUGGAAGUAAGUUAUUUAAAAGUGUGCUCCUAUUAACCUAGACUGUUUUCCCUGAAUUUGAUUUUACACUGCUUAAACUCACAACCUUGAUCUACCCAUCCUUUAUUUAUUGUGAACACUCAAAAUAUAACACGGAUAUGAUUUUCUGCCUUCUUGUUUAGGUGAAUAAAAACAAAAUAAAAGUUAUAUCCAAGGAGAAGGAAGGUAUAUUUAAGACAAGUUGGGUUUGAAUCAUAGGCUUGGGCUAUUUGGUGGUUUGUGCACCAGGAGAAGGGAUGGGAAAUGAGUCAGCAUACAGAGCAAAAGCUAAAUAUGUUGAUCCCAAGAUGCAUUUAAGGCAAUGCCUUCAGUUAUCUGUUUGCUCACUAUUUGUGUAAUUUUUAAGUAGUGUUGAUUUCUAUUGAUCCCAUGAGGUGGUGUGGUCCCUUUUAUUUAUAGGCUAUAAAAGAGUAUGAGCAAAAGAAUUGUUCUUCUUUAAGGUUGGCAUAAUGCAGCUGUGAAUCCUGUUGAUCCUGAGAUUUUAUUUCCCUGGAAAUUCUAUAAUUGCUCUGAUCUCAUUGCCUGUCGACAAUCUGUUCAAUUGUUCUAUGUCCUCUUUGCUAUGUCUAGAAAUUUAUUCAUUUCUUCCUGGUUUUCUGAUUAUCGAAAUACAGAUUUUCCAAACAUCUCUUAACCUUUCUUUUCUUUCAAUGGAAUUGUUUCUGGCACUUUUAAAAACUGAUUUUGUUUUAUUAACUUUGAAUAAUUUGGCUAAUGAUUUGCCACUCUUGUUUUACCCAUCCAAAGAAUAAAACAGUUUCUUCUUCAGGGUUUUAUGUCAUUCCUCAUUAAUAAUCUGAGGUCUGAAUUUUAGCAUUUAUUUUCUUCCAACAAUGUGGAGUCCAGUUUGUUCUCAUUUUUCCAAGACAAUGAAGUGUAAUACAUCAUUAGGUUAUUUGUCAUAUAUGACUUUGUUUUAAGCUGUAUUAUUCCCCAUGCAUGAAUGUGUUUGCAUGUGUGAACUUUUGUAUUUGUAUAAGCAUAUGUGCUGCAGGUGUCCACAGAGACCAGAAGAGGGUUCCUGAUAUCCUGAAGUUGGAAUUACAUGUUGUAGCAAGUUACCUGAACUGAACCCAGACCCUCUGGAAGUUCAUAAAGCAUUCUUAACCAAUGAGCCAUCUCUCCAGCCCAUUGUUCUUUUAUGCCAUAGUCAUUCAUAGGUAUAAACUUUUAUGUUAUGUAUGUCUCCAAUGAAUCUCUCAUAGUCUGGUAAAUGGAAUUUCUGUUUUCAGUGUAUUCUAGAACUUUAAAAUGUCUCUCAUAUGUCUAAAACAAUCCACUGAUCAUUCAAAAGCACUAAAAUUUUUCAUAGUUUUAUAUUCUCUUUAGGUGCUCUUACUACUGAUUUCUGCUGCAAUUUCAUUAUGGUCAAUGCUCCCCCUUUUUCCUUUGAAGAGUUGUUUAUGUCCUGAAAUACUACCUGUUUUGGAGAAAGUUCCAAGGACAAUUUCUCUGAAGGAUAUAAUUCCUACUUAACAACAGAGCAAUAAUCCCAACUAUGUAUCAGAAGGCAUCAUGAAGAUAGAUGGACUGACAAUCAAUGGACAAGAGAAGAAGAUCUCAAAGAGAAGUCUACUUACCACCCAGCGGGUCUUUUCUAAGUUGGUUUAUGAUGUGUUCCUAUGAAACUUUAAAUGGUCACAAUAUCUGAAAGCACAGCUCCUCUUAAAAAUAGUCCCAUGCUGUGUUGUCUUUUAAAAGAGGGGACUAUUCUGAAUACUCCUCCAUCUGCCCACAUUCCUUAGUCUAGGUAAGUUGAAAACAUUAUGCAAUAGGCCUAUCAAUAUUCCUUUAAAUGCCAGUAUUUCUUUCUUCCUGAAUAUCCAUUCAUUCUGAAACAUCUCACAGAGGGGAAUCCAAAGAAUGCAGAAGGAAUUGUGAGUGACUGUGAAAAUCUGUCCUGUUUUGGUAGAAACUUGGAAAACCAGAUAUAGACUGCUGAAAAUGACUAACCUUCCUGGUCUUGGUAAUAUGUCUCCAGGCAUACUAAGAUACAGAAAUGGUCAAGGGGAAGUUUAGAUGUGAUCUGCCUCUCUGAAGCUGCACAAUUAACUCCUGAGUUCUCUCUGCCUGCAGGACUGUGUUCUUCUCAUUAAGUGAGGUGAUUAUGACACUACUAUGAGUUCUGGUAAGAGAUUUGACACCACCUCAUAAAAGGUGCCUGAGAGGACAAAACCCAGUAUUUUACAGGCAGGAAGCAUCUUUCCAGGGCACAUCUUUUUUGAUGGGAUUUGUCAACAUCCUCAGCUUCUCUGGUUUUGGUAUCCCUAACCACAUCUAUAGGGGGAGUCACUCAUGAGAGUUAUCCAGUAGAGAUGUCAACUCCAUUUUGAUUUUUAAAAUGAGAGUAUUCUAUGUGAAUGCAUUCAAGGAGAGGGCUUCAUGUAUGGGAGAGAGUGCUCGUAGAAGUUCAGUUACCAACAAGGCAAAGACAUUAAGUGCUUUACACACAUAAAGUUUAUGUCUAUAUUACUUUAACAGUGUUAUUGUUGUAUUGAUGAACUAUCCCUCCAGAUCCAUAGUAUUUUUGUUCUUUAGAUCUGAUUUUUUUAUUUGUCCAUGGGCAUUAUGUGCUGAUAUAGUGUUAAUUUCUGUUCAUACAAAAAAUGAAUGGCUCCUUUAAUAAAUAAAGAACUGAAUGUCAAAUAAGAUGCUACAUUUGUAGAUUAAAAACCUCCCAAUUUGAAUAUCUUUAAUUUGAUGUAUUUGUGUGUAUGAGGUUUGGAACAACAUUUAUAAAUAGACAAGAUGAAUUAGAAUUCACACAGGACUGGAAAAUUAGAAUAUUAAGGGUGACUUUUUCCACCUUCUUCGGUGUUCAUGUGAGUGACCUGUGCCAAGACAUUAGAAUUCCCGUCAGCUUGAGAAAAACUAGUGUGAGCUCUCCUGAUAGCAUGGGAGCCUGAGGCAAGCCCACACAGCACUCUAAACACAGACAGCUUCUUUUUGUACUCCAUUUAACACUUCAUUUAUAUGCGCAAACUCUUUUUAGUCUGCAGGGCUACCAUUCUAGAACUUGCCGUAUCUAGACAAUGGAAUAGGAGUAAAUACUCAUGAGCUGGUAAUAACGGGCGAAUCUGAGCAUCACUGUUUAAGAUAGAUGUGGGGCAUUCUGCCUGUGAAAAUUGACUUAUUAUAAGAAGUAAGAUUAGAGCUUUGCAUCCUGAGGCUGUGCAAGUAGAGGCUUUUUAAACUCCAGCAACAUCACUCUGAGAGCACCCAAGGUUCACAGACACACCGUCAGAUUGGUCGGAAUGUAAGGUCAGUGGAGAAGAAAGUGUGGGAGUGGCGCGUGCAACCCAUGCUGUAGACACAAAUUCUCUUCCGUUGAAGGAAUCUGACUGGAGUCUUGCAUUUCAUUGCUGCUGGAUAGAACCUUCAGGUGUGGUGGGUUAGUAUUCUCACCAUUUCUUAAAUUCUCACUUCCAAACUGUGUCUAUAACAACCUAUGCCGCUAAGUGGGGUUCUUACUUGUAGGGCUUCAUGCUUGCUUCCGGGCUCUUAGACUGCCAGCAUGAAAUUCUGUAGCUAGUGCACUUGCUCUAUUUCCUAUUCUGGGCUCUUUUGUUUUUGUUUUGUAUUUUUUUAAAAGUUGUACAAAAAAAUCCAUUGAGACACAUUGUUCCUUUUAGUUCUGAGUCGUGAGACAAAAGAAAGGAGAGAGGGCAAAACCCUUGAGCAACCAUGCUGAGAUUCUCCUGAUCCUUGAAGUCUCUCCCAGCCCUGUGGCCCAAAGCUAUGUUCUUCCUAGUUAUUGACCCAAAAGCAUGGUUUCUACAAGACCCAAUUUUCAAUUGAGAGAACACACAGUUUGAUGUUCUGCCUACUGCACCAUUUUCCAAAAAUUAAGACAGGCAAGGUAGAUAAACCCAACAGGAAUAAUUCAUCAGACAAUGCCAAGGCUCCAUGUUCCAGACAGAACCAAUUAGUCUUUUGGGGGGCAGUGGUCAAGAUUGGCAUGUAUGUGGCAUCUGAUGACUCCUCACCAGGCACAUGAUGAAAAUAAUACUGAAGAAGAAGCUGCCAAUUCCAUCUCUACCAGAGAAGUGGAGGUACAAUACUUUUAACAGAAUGCUCUUUCUCUCUUGAUGAAGUCCAGCAAGGCACACUCACCUAGAGAAACUAAAGCUAAGAUUUACUUUAUCAUUCGGCGGUUAAAUUCACAUUUAUAAAUUAUCCUUUCAGGACCUCCUCGGGGUUCUGCUUCAAUUCAAAAUUAAACCAUGUCGCAUCAAAUAUUAAUGAGAAAAGUUAGAUCCAUUUAUAUUUUAUGCUGAAAUGUAGCCAAUUCUUCCACACUGAUAACACAAUUAGUGAAGUAAUUUCGAGGUGCAUAAUGGAUUUUUAAAAGUUAACUUAUCUGUAACAGGCUCUGGGCAGAUGUUAGGGAAGAAAUGGGUGGUGGUUAUCCUGUAUUGCAUUUUUAAAAACUGAAUGGAACCCUGAGAGUAUAAUGCUAACACACACACACACACACACACACACACACACACACACACACAGUUUUUCCAAUUUUGAAAAUUUCUCUAAAAUCUCAACCAUAGCUUUAUUUCUUGUCCUAAAUGACCUGGAAGUUGCUCAUGACUUAGAGACUGAUUAGUGAUGAAAAGAAAAUGUUCAACAACAACAUCAGGGGGAAAUUAGAAUAACCCAUUUGGUUAUCUUUACUUUUUUCCUAUUGCCCUGUGUUGUAUAUUAUGUGUUCACUACAGAAACCACUUUCCAUAAAGUGAUACUCCUCAUUUCAGCUACUCAAACCAUGAAUCUUUGCUCACCUUUCAGGUCUUUCUGCCCCCACCCCACUCCUUGUACUUCCUCCCUCUAAAACCCACGGACCCUUCAUCUAUACUCCAAAGAGGUUAUAACACCACCCACUCAAUUCCAUUUAACCUUACACCCCCUCCACCGGACAGCAGUCCGGCAGCAUGAAGCAAUCACCUUCUUAGACACCAGAAUCCUUUCUUAUCCUUUCUUUGUUCAGUGUCUCAGCCCAUUCCUGCUUGUUAUCCACUAUGCAGAAUACUCUUUUGGCUAAAUGAAGAGUUUUUUUUUUUUCUGAUUUUCCCAACUUACUUUUUUUUUCAGAGACUAUCUUUGCCAAACUCUAUAUUUCACUUAUCACUAAUAUACCCCUUUAUAGUUCUUAGUUAAUGAUCUGGAAGGUAGAAUAAAAUAAAAGAGGCCUGUUUUAGUUGCUAAGUAGAAAAGAAAAUAAUUCAUACCUAUCCUUUUUCAAAGAUAGAAAGCAACACAAAUAUAAUUGAUAUGAUCAUACCUGAUGUGUGUUGCUUCUAUAUUUGAUCAGUUACAUAUGAAAAUCAAGAUAAAUCUCUUCAUAAAUUACUUUGUAUCAUAUUUCAGUAUUAAGCUGAAGUUUUGGCUCUGAAUUCCCACAAAGUUCUCUUGUGACACCCAGAGAUACCUAAUGAUGUUAUGUGGGUCAUAAUAAAAUCCCACACAUAUCUCACUCAGUAUAGGGUGUGCUCUAUGGCUUUCUGAUCAAAACAUUUAGCUCUCUCAUGACUUCUGUGUUUCACAGUACUUCUCAGACUUGUAAUAGAGAGGUGAAAGGUUCCAGAGAAUACUUCCAAGGCUUCCAGGUGAGCAGUUCAAGAGAGUCAUGCCAUGGUCCAUUGGACUAUGGACAGACAGGACACUCGAUUUCCUUUUGAGAGGAACUAUACUGAGAGUGAAUUCUCCACAGGAAAUAAA